UCCUAAGUUCAGGUGCCUGGGGUAAGGAGAAAGCUUCACUCAAGUUUGUUCAAGUCAAUAUAUAGCAGGUGUUUUGUCCAGGUUGGUCAGUGGAGAGCACUUCAGAUAACAUUUAUGAACCAAAGAAUGGGAAUUUCAGUGUCCUGAAUCUGCCUUGUCAUAGGUAAACAAAGGGAGCAUCUAUGAAUCUUACAUAAAUCAUAUGGGAAAGGAUCAUGCCCUGCAAAGAACACAGAAGGGGCCCAGUGGGAAGACAAGUGUCUGCAACUCAGCGAAAGAGCUAUCUCCAGACACUGAUGCUGCUGGCACCUUGACCUUGGACUUCCUGUCUCCAGAAAUGUGAUAAAAAAAGAAGAAGGAAGAAGCGGAGGAGGAGAAUAAUUACUUAAGCCAAAGACUUCUUGGAACCAAUUUGGGAAGUUACAUCAAGUGAUGCUGGCUCUAUUGAUCUCGUCUUUGAAUUAAUAUUACAAAUUUAGGUAGGAAAUGCAGGAAAAAAUGGGAUAAAUGGCAGUGUUUGUAUAAUUUAA
Long non-coding RNA from Prionailurus viverrinus (fishing cat), 530 nucleotides. RefSeq lists it as uncharacterized. The record is from RefSeq and is a predicted model, not a curated record. The transcript has 3 exons. NCBI's taxonomy places the organism in Eukaryota, Metazoa, Chordata, Mammalia, Carnivora, Felidae.